CCUACGGGGGGCAGCAGUCGAGAAUCAUUCACAAUGGGGGAAACCCUGAUGGUGCGACGCCGCGUGGGGGAAUGAAGGUCUUCGGAUUGUAAACCCCUGUCAUGUGGGAGCAAAUUAAAAAGGUAGUACCACAAGAGGAAGAGACGGCUAACUCUGUGCCAGCAGCCGCGGUAAUACAGAGGUCUCAAGCGUUGUUCGGAAUCACUGGGCGUAAAGCGUGCGUAGGCUGUUUCGUAAGUCGUGUGUGAAAGGCGCGGGCUCAACCCGCGGACGGCACAUGAUACUGCGAGACGAGAGGAAUGGAGGGGGAACCGGAAUUCUCGGUGUAGCAGUGAAAUGCGUAGAUAUCGAGAGGAACACUCGUGGCGAAGGCGGGUUCCUGGACAUUAACUGACGCUGAGGCACGAAGGCCAGGGGAGCGAAAGGGAUUAGAUACCCUUGUAGUC
Molecule: ribosomal RNA, 446 nt
Filed under: uncultured bacterium
Lineage: Bacteria
Description: partial 16S ribosomal RNA
Rfam family: Bacterial small subunit ribosomal RNA
Source: RNAcentral